RNAcentral lists this microRNA precursor (115 nucleotides) under Pelobates cultripes (western spadefoot toad). The record is from RNAcentral. Lineage: Eukaryota; Metazoa; Chordata; Amphibia; Anura; Pelobatidae.
ACAAUAUCCAAACCCGUUUCACCAUAUAGGUUUUAUCAAUGGAUCCAUUGAUAUCCAUUGAUAUCCAUUUGUCCAUUGAUAAAACCUAUAUGGUGAAACGCGUUUGGAAGGGAAG